Molecule: ribosomal RNA, 241 nt
Filed under: Arthrobacter sp. Le3-3
Lineage: Bacteria; Bacillati; Actinomycetota; Actinomycetes; Micrococcales; Micrococcaceae
Description: partial 16S ribosomal RNA
Rfam family: Bacterial small subunit ribosomal RNA
Source: RNAcentral
ACUCGCGGCCUAUCAGCUUGUUGGUGGSGUAUUGGCCUACCAAGGCGACGACGGGUAGCCGGCCUGAGAGGGUGACCGGCCACACUGGGACUGAGACACGGCCCAGAMUCCUACGGGAGGCAGCAGUGGGGAAUAUUGCACAAUGGGCGCAAGCCUGAUGCAGCGACGCCGCGUGAGGGAUGACGGCCUUCGGGUUGUAAACCUCUUUCAGUAGGGAAGAAGCGAAAGUGACGGUACCUGC